GACGAACCGUGCGAACGUUAUUCGGAAUCACUGGGCUUAAAGGGUGCGUAGGCGGGUUGCCAAGUCUGUGGUGAAAUCCUCCAGCUUAACUGGAGAACUGCCGUGGAUACUGGCGACCUCGAGGGGUGUAGGGGCUUGCGGAACUGUGCGUGGAGCGGUGAAAUGCGUUGAUAUGCACAGGAACUCCGGUGGCGAAAGCGGCGAGCUGGACACCUUCUGACGCUGAGGCACGAAAGCUAGGGGAGCAAACGGA
Molecule: ribosomal RNA, 253 nt
Filed under: uncultured bacterium
Lineage: Bacteria
Description: partial 16S ribosomal RNA
Rfam family: Bacterial small subunit ribosomal RNA
Source: RNAcentral